GACGAACGCUGGUGGCGUGCUUAACACAUGCAAGUCGAACGGAAAGGCCCUGCUUUUGUGGGGUGCUCGAGUGGCGAACGGGUGAGUAACACGUGGGUAACCUGCCCUUGACUUUGGGAUAACUUCAGGAAACUGGGGCUAAUACCGGAUAGGAGCUCCUGCUGCUUGGUGGGGGUUGGUAAGUUUCGGCGGUUGGGGAUGGACUCGCGGCUUAUCAGCUUGUUGGUGGGGUAGUGGCUUACCAAGGCUUUGACGGGUAGCCGGCCUGAGAGGGUGACCGGCCACAUUGGGACUGGGAUACGGCCCGGACUCCUACGGGAGGCAGCAGUGGGGAAUAUUGCACAAUGGGCGGAAGCCUGAUGCAGCAACGCCGCGUGCGGGAUGACGGCCUUCGGGUUGUAAACCGCUUUCGCCUGUGACGAAGCGUGAGUGACGGUAAUGUGUAAAGAAGCACCGGCUAACUACGUG
RNAcentral lists this ribosomal RNA (468 nucleotides) under uncultured bacterium. Its description in RNAcentral is "partial 16S ribosomal RNA". It matches the Rfam family "Bacterial small subunit ribosomal RNA", at positions 28 to 507 of the family's 1533-position model. The record is from RNAcentral.